Haliotis rubra (blacklip abalone) is the source of this 330-nucleotide long non-coding RNA. RefSeq lists it as uncharacterized. NCBI's taxonomy places the organism in Eukaryota, Metazoa, Mollusca, Gastropoda, Lepetellida, Haliotidae. The record is from RefSeq and is a predicted model, not a curated record. The transcript has 3 exons.
CCGUUACCGAUUGAAUUUAAGUGAUGGACAUACAUGGAAGUUAUGAUAUAGCCCAGUUACGCAGUGAAUUUACAUGAUGGACAUGGUAGAUAAAAUCAAUUAGUGUCAUUAUAAACAUGUACAUAAAUGGAAGUUAGGAUAUAAUGUGGACCCGUAUUUGUCAUUUUACAAAGUAAUAACAUAUAUACAGAGCUACAAGUACAUUCCACUACGAUAUAACGCGACCUAACAGAAAUAUGGUGGUGUGUAAAGUGUUUGCGGAAUCCAAUGAUGUAUAUGUGACAAACCAUCAUUGGUGUGUAUGGUGUGUCUUCACACUCAGUGAAAUGU